Molecule: non-coding RNA, 1673 nt
Organism: Dermacentor albipictus
Lineage: Eukaryota; Metazoa; Arthropoda; Arachnida; Ixodida; Ixodidae
Source: RefSeq, a predicted model, not a curated record
GGCGGGUACCGUUAUGGUCUGCGAUUGCCAGGAAGCCCAUGCUAUAUCCGUUUCACUAAUGGAGCAUUAAGACUUCAAUCAAACUGACUUUUUGCUUGGAACAUGCGUGACGACGCCACCCAGUGGCAGAACACGGCCAGGCGCACGCAGGCUUGGUUUCUGUAGUGGUUUGCGUUGUGCAAGCAGCGGUGGCAUCGUCCUAGGUUUCAUAAUUUCCUGCGUUUUUCGCUGCUGCAAGGUCCAGCCAUGCCGCGUUGUGGAUUCUUCCCCUCCUGUCAAAUGAUUUCUCGCCUGUCGAGAUGAGAUUUCUUCAUCAUCAUCACGGCCCUCAAGAAAAAUGCCGAGACCACAGCAGUUGACCGCUGAAGCCGAGACCACAUGCAGUUGUUCCUGUAGCGACCGUGAAAAGGCUCCAUGGGGCACAGGUCCAACUCGGCGCCGCGACCUUUUUCUUGCAGUUCUUCUACCUAGCUACCUAACCAUGUGAGCCAAUCAUGGCAAAGACUCUGCGAUGGCGGAAGGCACUACCCCAUGACGCUCCAAAUUCCAGUCACUGUCUCUCCCAGCGUGCUGCCUCAGCAUCACCCACCGAUACUCAGCGGCACUGAUGACCAAGACUUUGAGAACCUGCUUGGCAACUUACGAAAGGGUGAGCGCAGUCAACAAAUGGGGUGAUUCUAUUAGGCUGACCAACGUAAUAUUGUACUUGACAGUUAUCGCCAAUGUUUGUUUUUGAAAUUACGAAGCGGAGUUUAAUAACAGGGUGUCGUUCAGCAAAACUUUUUUUCGGAAAACUUCAGCUGCACCGCAGUAAGCAAAGUUCGCGCGGAACAGCAGCUACGUGAACCUCCUCAACAACCCGGGGAAAACUUCACCAUUUAUAUGGAAGACGUCAUCGACUUGUGUAAGCGUCUAACCCCGUCGAUGCACGAGUCGGAUAAGAUCAAACAAAUCCUGAAAGGAGUUGCCGAUGACGCAUUUCAAAAGUUAUUAGCCCAAAACCCACAGGUCGUCGCAGAUCUUGUGAGUUUGUGCCAUAGAUUCGAUGAAUUGCGCAAGCAACGCGCCCAAACUCGAUGCCCUCUAAAACAGAACGACUUAAUGGCAGCCUUGAGUCUGGGCGACCGGAAUGCACUGUUGCUUCGGGUCAAGGAGUUCGUGCGUGCGGAGGUUGGCCGACAGCUCUACACUUUAUCAAACACGCCCUAGCCAGCACAGGCACAACAUCUGGCCCGAGUCAUACGACAACUGAUACAGGAAGAGGUCACUGACGCUUUGCCUUUCACUCACCGCCGUAUCUGGGUUCUGCGCCCUUGUCGUACGCACAAGUCAUUGCUACUGGGUCGCCCCGUCAACCAACUUAUUCUUCAGCGUUGGAACCUGUUCGGCCACCACCAGUUCGGUUAGUCGACCACCCCUAUAUAGGUUUUCAAAUCCACGGCGGAAUGCGGACCAUCGUCCUAUAUGUUAUUUCUGCGGUUACGCAGGACAUGUGGCACGCUUCUGUCGCCAUCGUCCUCCUCAAAAUUAUGCUAUGCGCCGGUCUGCGUACAAUUCUCGACGCUUUAUUGACACAGUGCGACCACAACAAUGCUCUUCGGCUGAACGCCUGCCCUCAGCUAUCCGCCGAUCUCCAUUACUCCGGCGUUACUCUCUGUCACCUAUGUGCCGUC